RNAcentral lists this ribosomal RNA (460 nucleotides) under uncultured bacterium. Its description in RNAcentral is "partial 16S ribosomal RNA". The record is from RNAcentral.
GACUACUCGGGUAUCUAAUCCUGUUUGAUCCCCACGCUUUCGUGCUUCAGUGUCAGUUAUGGCUUAGUAAGCUGCCUUCGCAAUCGGAGUUCUGCGUGAUAUCUAUGCAUUUCACCGCUACACCACGCAUUCCGCCUACCUCAAACACACUCAAGUCUUCCAGUUUCAACGGCAAUUUUAUGGUUGAGCCACAAACUUUCACCGCUGACUUAAAAAACAACCUACGCACCCUUUAAACCCAGUAAAUCCGGAUAACGCUCGGAUCCUCCGUAUUACCGCGGCUGCUGGCACGGAGUUAGCCGAUCCUUAUUCAUAAGGUACAUACAAAACGGGACACGUCCCGCACUUUAUUCCCGUAUAAAAGAGGUUUACGAUCCAUAGAACCUUCAUCCCUCACGCGACUUGGCUGGUUCAGGCUUACGCCCAUUGACCAAUAUUCCUCACUGCUGCCACCCGUAGG